This 470-nucleotide ribosomal RNA is filed under the name uncultured Thiobacillus sp. RNAcentral describes it as "bacterial SSU rRNA". It matches the Rfam family "Bacterial small subunit ribosomal RNA", at positions 908 to 1382 of the family's 1533-position model. Lineage: Bacteria; Pseudomonadati; Pseudomonadota; Betaproteobacteria; Nitrosomonadales; Thiobacillaceae. The record is from RNAcentral.
AAUUGACGGGGACCCGCACAAGCGGUGGAUGAUGUGGAUUAAUUCGAUGCAACGCGAAGAACCUUACCUACCCUUGACAUGUCCGGAACUUGCCAGAGAUGGCUUGGUGCCCGAAAGGGAAUCGGAACACAGGUGCUGCAUGGCUGUCGUCAGCUCGUGUCGUGAGAUGUUGGGUUAAGUCCCGCAACGAGCGCAACCCUUAUCAUUAGUUGCUACGCAAGGGCACUCUAAUGAGACUGCCGGUGACAAACCGGAGGAAGGUGGGGAUGACGUCAAGUCCUCAUGGCCCUUAUGGGUAGGGCUUCACACGUCAUACAAUGGUCGGUACAGAGGGUUGCCAAGCCGCGAGGCGGAGCCAAUCCCACAAAGCCGAUCGUAGUCCGGAUUGUUCUCUGCAACUCGAGAGCAUGAAGUCGGAAUCGCUAGUAAUCGUGGAUCAGCAUGUCACGGUGAAUACGUUCCCGGGUCUU